Molecule: ribosomal RNA, 492 nt
Filed under: uncultured bacterium
Lineage: Bacteria
Description: partial 16S ribosomal RNA
Rfam family: Bacterial small subunit ribosomal RNA
Source: RNAcentral
AGUGAACGCUGGCGGUAGGCCUAACACAUGCAAGUCGAACGGCAGCACAGUAAGAGCUUGCUCUUACGGGUGGCGAGUGGCGGACGGGUGAGGAAUACAUCGGAAUCUACUUUUUCGUGGGGGAUAACGUAGGGAAACUUACGCUAAUACCGCAUACGACCUACGGGUGAAAGCAGGGGAUCUUCGGACCUUGCGCGAUUGAAUGAGCCGAUGUCGGAUUAGCUAGUUGGCGGGGUAAAGGCCCACCAAGGCGACGAUCCGUAGCUGGUCUGAGAGGAUGAUCAGCCGCACUGGAACUGAGACACGGUCCAGACUCCUACGGGAGGCAGCAGUGGGGAAUAUUGGACAAUGGGCGCAAGCCUGAUCCAGCCAUACCGCGUGGGUGAAGAAGGCCUCCGGGUUGUAAAGCCCUUUUGUUGGGAAAGAAAAGCAGCAGGUUAAUACCCCGCUGUUCUGACGGUACCCAAAGAAUAAGCACCGGCUAACUUCGUG